This 1334-nucleotide ribosomal RNA is filed under the name Mycobacterium sp. DWMJ-551B1. Its description in RNAcentral is "bacterial SSU rRNA". It matches the Rfam family "Bacterial small subunit ribosomal RNA", at positions 95 to 1433 of the family's 1533-position model. Lineage: Bacteria; Bacillati; Actinomycetota; Actinomycetes; Mycobacteriales; Mycobacteriaceae. The record is from RNAcentral.
GUGGCGAACGGUUGAGUAACACGUGGGUGAUCUGCCCUGCACUUUGGGAUAAGCCUGGGAAACUGGGUCUAAUACCGAAUAGGACCACGCGCUUCAUGGUGUGUGGUGGAAAGCUUUUGCGGUGUGGGAUGGGCCCUUGCGGCCUAUCAGCUUGUUGGUGUCAGCUGGGUGAUGGCCUACCAAGGGCGACGACGGGUAGCCGGCCUGAGAGGGUGACCGGCCACACUGGGACUGAGAUACGGCCCAGACUCCUACGGGAGGCAGCAGUGGGGAAUAUUGCACAAUGGGCGCAAGCCUGAUGCAGCGACGCCGCGUGAGGGAUGACGGCCUUCGGGUUGUAAACCUCUUUCAAUAGGGACGAAGCGNGAGUGACGGUACCUAUAGAAGAAGCACCGGCCAACUACGUGCCAGCAGCCGCGGUAAUACGUAGGGUGCGAGCGUUGUCCGGAAUUACUGGGCGUAAAGAGCUCGUAGGUGGUUUGUCGCGUUGUUCGUGAAAACUCACAGCUUAACUGUGGGCGUGCGGGCGAUACGGGCAGACUAGAGUACUGCAGGGGAGACUGGAAUUCCUGGUGUAGCGGUGGAAUGCGCAGAUAUCAGGAGGAACACCGGUGGCGAAGGCGGGUCUCUGGGCAGUAACUGACGCUGAGGAGCGAAAGCGUGGGGAGCGAACAGGAUUAGAUACCCUGGUAGUCCACGCNGUAAACGGUGGGUACUAGGUGUGGGUUCCUUCCUUGGGAUCCGUGCCGUAGCUAACGCAUUAAGUACCCCGCCUGGGGAGUACGGCCGCAAGGCUAAAACUCAAAGGAAUUGACGGGGGCCCGCACAAGCGGCGGAGCAUGUGGAUUAAUUCGAUGCAACGCGAAGAACCUUACCUGGGUUUGACAUGCACAGGACGCCGGCAGAGAUGUCGGUUCCCUUGUGGCCUGUGUGCAGGUGGUGCAUGGCUGUCGUCAGCUCGUGUCGUGAGAUGUUGGGUUAAGUCCCGCAACGAGCGCAACCCUUGUCCUAUGUUGCCAGCGGGUUAUGCCGGGGACUCGUAGGAGACUGCCGGGGUCAACUCGGAGGAAGGUGGGGAUGACGUCAAGUCAUCAUGCCCCUUAUGUCCAGGGCUUCACACAUGCUACAAUGGCCGGUACAAAGGGCUGCGAUGCCGUGAGGUGGAGCGAAUCCUUUCAAAGCCAGUCUCAGUUCGGAUCGGGGUCUGCAACUCGACCCCGUGAAGUCGGAGUCGCUAGUAAUCGCAGAUCAGCAACGCUGCGGUGAAUACGUUCCCGGGCCUUGUACACACCGCCCGUCACGUCAUGAAAGUCGGUAACACCCGAAGCCGGUGG